GACGAACGCUGGCGGCGUGCUUAACACAUGCAAGUCGAACGGUGAAGCGCCUUCCUUUUUGGUGGGUGUGGAUGAGUGGCGAACGGGUGAGUAACACGUGAGUAACCUGCCCCCUUCUUCUGGAUAACCGCAUGAAAGUGUGGCUAAUACGGGAUAUUCUGGGUCUGUCGCAUGAUGGGUCUGGGAAAGAUAUUGUUUCGGUGGGGGAUGGGCUCGCGGCCUAUCAGCUUGUUGGUGGGGUGAUGGCCUACCAAGGCGGUGACGGGUAGCCGGCCUGAGAGGGUGGACGGUCACACUGGGACUGAGACACGGCCCAGACUCCUACGGGAGGCAGCAGUGGGGAAUAGUGCACAAUGGGCGCAAGCCUGAUGCAGCGCCGCCGCGUGAGGGAUGGAGGCCUUCGGGUUGUGAACCUCUUUCGCCAGUGAAGCAGGCCUGCCUCGUUUGUGGGUGGGUUGACGGUAGCUGGAUAAGAAGCGCCGGCUAACUACGUG
Molecule: ribosomal RNA, 494 nt
Filed under: uncultured bacterium
Lineage: Bacteria
Description: partial 16S ribosomal RNA
Rfam family: Bacterial small subunit ribosomal RNA
Source: RNAcentral